RNAcentral lists this ribosomal RNA (468 nucleotides) under uncultured bacterium. RNAcentral's name for it is "partial 16S ribosomal RNA". It matches the Rfam family "Bacterial small subunit ribosomal RNA", at positions 28 to 507 of the family's 1533-position model. The record is from RNAcentral.
GACGAACGCUGGCGGCGUGCUUAACACAUGCAAGUCGAACGGAAAGGCCCUGCUUGUGUGGGGUGCUCGAGUGGCGAACGGGUGAGUAACACGUGAGUAUCCUGCCCUUGACUUUGGGAUAACUUCAGGAAACUGGUGCUACUACCGGAUAGGAGCUCCUGCUGCAUGGUGGGGGUUGGAAAGUUUCGGCUGUUGGGGAUGGACUCGCGGCUUACCAGCUUGUUGGUUGGGUAGUGGCUUACCCAGGGUUUGACGGGUCGCCGGCCUGAGAGGGUGACCGGCCACCUUGGGACUGAGAUACGGCCCAGACUCCUACGGGAGGCAGCAGUGGGGAAUAUUGUCCAAUGGGCGGAAGCCUGAUGCAGAAACGCCGCGUGCGGGAUGACGGCCUUCGGGUUGUAAACCGCUUUCGCCUGUGACGACGCGUGAGUGACGGUACUGGGUAAAGAAGCACCGGCUAACUACGUG